AAUUGAUUGGAACUCCUAGACUAGAAAUAUAAUUCAAGAUUUAAAUAAGGCACUGGUCAUAGUUUUAGAAAGAGUGGCUAGCAUUCUGCAUACUAGCCAAGAUUGAUACCUCUCCACAAAUUAACAAAGACAUCAAUGAAGCUUUGCUAAAGCUAGUGACAAUUUACAUGUUUUCUUAUGUGGCUUAAUUAUAAUAAUGUCAAGAAAGCUAAUUAAAUAAGAACUAUACAUUU
Molecule: long non-coding RNA, 233 nt
Organism: Biomphalaria glabrata
Lineage: Eukaryota; Metazoa; Mollusca; Gastropoda; Planorbidae
Exons: 2
Source: RefSeq, a predicted model, not a curated record